AUAUCGCGGGUGACUUUGAGAUUG
Molecule: non-coding RNA, 24 nt
Filed under: Arabidopsis thaliana (thale cress)
Lineage: Eukaryota; Viridiplantae; Streptophyta; Magnoliopsida; Brassicales; Brassicaceae
Source: RNAcentral